UUAGAUACCCUAUUAUUUUUAUUGUAAAAUUUGAAACUUGAGUAUUAGUAGCUAAGAUCUUGAAACUUAAAGAAUUUGGCGGUAUUAUAGUCUAUUUAGAGGAAUCUGUUAUGUAAUCGAUAGUCCACGUUGAACCUUACUUAUAUUAUUUCUUGUAUACCGCUGUUUGAGAAUAUACUUUUAGGUUAUUUUCUUAAUAUAUUAUUAAUUAAAAUUUCAGGUCAAGGUGCAGUAAUAUGUAAGUUGAAUAAUGGAUUACAAUAAAUUUUAUUUAUAUGGAUUGUUAUUGAAAUAUAAUUUGAAGGUGGAUUUAAUUGUAAUUUUUUAAAGAUUAUUAAAAUGAUUAAUAGCUCUAUAAUAUGUACACAUCGCCCGUCGCUCUCGUUAUUAAGAUGAGAUAAGUCGA
RNAcentral lists this ribosomal RNA (406 nucleotides) under Tenodera costalis. RNAcentral describes it as "partial 12S ribosomal RNA". The record is from RNAcentral. Lineage: Eukaryota; Metazoa; Arthropoda; Insecta; Mantodea; Mantidae.